UAGGGAAUCUUCCACAAUGGACGAAAGUCUGAUGGAGCAACGCCGCGUGAAUGAAGAAGGCCUUCGGGUCGUAAAAUUCUGUUGUCAGAGAAGAACGUGCGUGAGAGUAACUGUUCACGUAUUGACGGUAUCUGACCAGAAAGCCACGGCUAACUACGUGCCAGCAGCCGCGGUAAUACGUAGGUGGCGAGCGUUGUCCGGAUUUAUUGGGCGUAAAGGGAACGCAGGCGGUCUUUUAAGUCUGAUGUGAAAGCCUUCGGCUUAACCGAAGUAGUGCAUUGGAAACUGGAAGACUUGAGUGCAGAAGAGGAGAGUGGAACUCCAUGUGUAGCGGUGAAAUGCGUAGAUAUAUGGAAGAACACCAGUGGCGAAAGCGGCUCUCUGGUCUGUAACUGACGCUGAGGUUCGAAAGCGUGGGUAGCAAACAGG
RNAcentral lists this ribosomal RNA (429 nucleotides) under uncultured bacterium. Its description in RNAcentral is "bacterial SSU rRNA". It matches the Rfam family "Bacterial small subunit ribosomal RNA", at positions 355 to 776 of the family's 1533-position model. The record is from RNAcentral. RNAcentral also lists the same sequence under 1 other name.